UUCGCGACACCACAGGUUACGUGAGACUGUAAAAACGUGGUAUAAACUCCUACAGGAUUAAGUUGUGUGCUUCUGGAGCAGGAUUUAUCUUUGUGUUAUGAGGGUUAGGGCCUGCUAGUCACGCCUUCCCAGCCACAGGAGGCAGGUUCAUGCCACCACUCCAUCCCGUGCGUGAGAUCCCGAACUGCCAGAUGUCUCCAGAAGUUCCCCGGGAAAUUACACGGUUUCUCCUGAGACUGCGAUACAAGUCGACCUGCUUACCUUAACUUGUUUUUCCUCGUUACCUGCGGGGCGACUGGUGGUCUCCGAGGGAGGCGAGCCGGCAGCCGCCCGGGGGACUCUCUCUUCAGGCAGGCAUGGCCACCGCCAGGCUCGACUAUGUUGCUCCGUGGUGGACCUACUGGCUGCACCACUUCCCGCACUUCAACUUCGUUUUCCAGCCGGUGGACAACACUUUCAAACCGGCGGAGGAGAACUACCAGCAGUCAUUGAUUAUUCUGGCAUGUGUCGGCGCCAUCGGUCUGUGCCUGAGCCUGAUGGUUCUGGUGGUGUACUUGCUCUGCAUGUGUUGCUGCCGCAGGGACGUGGACGAAGACACCAAAAAACCACACACCUGCUGCGUCACCUGGGCUGCUGUCAUCACUGGUCUACUCAUCUGUUCAGCUGUAGGAGUGGGUUUCUAUGGCAACAGCCAGACCAACGAUGGCGUGUACCAGUUGACCUACUCGCUCUACAGCGCCAACCGCACCCUGGGCACCAUCAACAAUCUGGCAUCGGGCUCCGUCGGACACAUGGAAACCGGACUCAAGCGACACCUGGAACGGCUGGAUGAGAUCUUUGCAGCGAGAGGAGAUUACCUGCAAGCCUUGCGCUUCAUGCAGCUGAUGGUCAACAACGUCUUACGAGAAUUGACCGCCCUGCCGGACAUCAACAAAGCCAACACUGACUUGGCUUCAAUUGCUGACCAAACAGUCUUCGUGGAGUAUUACAGAUGGCUGACCUAUCUGCUGGUGCUCAUUCUGGAUCUGGUCAUCUGCCUGGCCUUGUGUUUGGGAAUGGCCAAGCAAUCCCGAUGGCUUCUCGUCUUGAUCAUGGUAUUUGUUCUGCUGUCUCUGACCCUGAGCUGGGCUUCACUGGGAGGGGGCACUGCUACCGCUGUGGGCACCAGUGACUUCUGUGUUGCGCCAGAUAAGUUUAUUGUCAACCAAACCAAAGAUUUCCUCCCGGCAGAUGUUGCACGCUAUUAUUUAUUCUGCAGUCCAAAUCUGCCCAAUCCCUUCCAACAGUCUCUGACAAUCUGCCAGCGUUCCGUCACCACAAUGCAGAUCCAGAUCCAGGGCCUGCUGCAGUUCUCGGUGCCGGUCUUCCCCACCGCCGAGAGAGAGCUGCUGGGGAUACAACGGCUGUUGAACUCCACGGAGUUCAGCCUGCAUCAGCUAACAGCCUUGCUCGACUGCCACGGGCUACACAAGGACUACUUGGAUGCCUUAAUAGGUGUGUGCUACGACGGGGUGGAAGGGCUCCUCUACCUCUCUUUGUUCUCUCUGCUGGCAGCCAGCGCACUCUCCGCCAUGCUGUGUACUAUUUUCCGAGUGUGGACACUAAUGGGCAGCAGGGAGAAGGAGUACGACGACAUCGAUGAGGAGGAUCCCUUCAACCCCCAGGCGCGCCGGCUCUCCUACAACCCCAGAAGGUCGGAUAUCCACAGUUUCUGUAGCUAUUCAAGCAGCAUUGGCAGCCAGGCUGGUCUUCAACUGCCCCCGCCGUCUGCCUCUAAUGUCUUGCCUGCCCCUGAGUACAUGAAUCAGUCGAUGCUGUUUGGCGGGAGCCCGCGCUAUGAGAACAUGCCGCUGAUAGGGCGACGAUCGCCGCCUCCCUCGGUGCGUUGGACCUACGGGGCCCUUGUGUCCCAAGUGUGAUGAUUGCAUGCACCACAUCACUGCAUGCAACAGGAACACAGCCUGAGACUGAACAAAAAAACACCAGCUGGUGAUGAAAGACUGCCCUCUACUGGACAUUCCAGAUGGUUUCCGCUAGUGUUCCUGCCAAGUGUAAUGAUUUUAGUCAUGCAUCAGUGCGUCAGUGUAGUGAUGUCAAGAGCUAAAUAAUAGAUAGUCCUUUUUUUUAAGUGCCUGCCGCUCUUACACUGACAGGCACAGAGUGAUAUGGUGUGUAAACAUGAGGUUUCCUGCUGAAUUUGCUUUGAAUGCUACAACAAUCACAGUGCUUUAACAUUAACUCUUGUGUUGUAACUGACCUUUUUGUCUUUGUUUUUAUUUAUUAACUCAAGACUUUCAAAAACCGUAAGUCGUCUUUCGUUGCCCUUUUUUUUCCGUUCAAGCCCUUUAUGUACUCUAAUAUAAUGACCAAGGAUGUGCUGUGUGACAUACUGUUGGAUGAUACUAACAUUAUUCACCCAGUAUGAAGACUGCCUAUCUUUCUAUGAGCGAGGCCCAGAUCAGGCACUUUGGGACUGACUUCCAGGUGUAGCCGUCGGAACAGAAGCCUGACUCACGCUGCCUUUUCUUCACCCUUUCUCAUGGAAGGAGGAGGUUUCAAGACAAUAAAUAUUUUCAUACUGCAGCCGGAUGAGUGGUGAAUUUCUCUGCAUGUUGUGGACUAUGUAGUAAAACAUCAGAUGAGCAGGAAAUUACAAUUAUUGUUUUUUUUAACACUGUGUUGAAUCUGACAUGUGUGAAGCCAGAUCUUCUCAACAGUUAUCUUGUACAAAACUUCGGAUCUUCAAGCUACAGUCAUCACUCAUGUUUUGUCCAUAAAGCGUUUGCUUUGUUCGUGGUGUUAUUUACAACUGCGGACCAACCUUUUGUCAGUAGAUGCCAAACAUGAGCUGUCACUAACCUACCUCAACUCCAUCCCGACUAGAUUUUGGCUUCUAUUUAUUCAGUUAUCCUUGUCUUCCCACUUCUCAAAGCAUCUCAAUGUUUUAUAGACCAGAGUUGCAGACAAUGAUGGACUGACAGAUCAGACAUAAAUCUCCAUGUUACUUUAAACUUCCUUACGCCGUACCUCAUAUUUCUCCUCGAGCGUCUCUCCUACAUGUUGCCUGAAUGACUUCAUUGCUUACUGCUACUAUAAUGUCAAGCAUUUCAAUAAAAAAAAUGGGAAACACUUGUUGAAUGUGUCAUAUAUAAUGUUAUGAUGUUAAAACACAUUCAGCUUAAUUUAAUUCAUUUUAAUUUCCAUUCAAAUGUUUGCACUUGUUUUUCAUCUGUUAUUCGAAGAAGUAUACACUAUUUUGUCAGCAUUUCCUUCGCCU
Molecule: RNA transcript, 3277 nt
Organism: Synchiropus splendidus (mandarinfish)
Lineage: Eukaryota; Metazoa; Chordata; Actinopteri; Syngnathiformes; Callionymidae
Gene: ttyh2l
Gene name: tweety homolog 2, like
Exons: 14
Source: RefSeq, a predicted model, not a curated record